Molecule: non-coding RNA, 87 nt
Organism: Acanthosepion pharaonis
Lineage: Eukaryota; Metazoa; Mollusca; Cephalopoda; Sepiida; Sepiidae
Source: the annotation of a GenBank genome assembly
GUUCCCGUACGAUCACCAAAGUUAAGCAACGUCGAACCUAGUUAUUACCUAGUUGGGCAACCGCUUGGGAAUACCACGUGCUGUAAG